Molecule: ribosomal RNA, 464 nt
Filed under: uncultured bacterium
Lineage: Bacteria
Description: partial 16S ribosomal RNA
Rfam family: Bacterial small subunit ribosomal RNA
Source: RNAcentral
ACGAACGCUGGCGGCGUGCUUCACCCCUGCCAGUCGCACGGAAAGGCCCUGCUUGCAGGGUACUCGAGUGGCGAACGGGUGAGUAACACGUGGGUGAUCUGCCCUGCACUUCGGGAUAAGCCUGGGAAACUGGGUCUAAUACCGGAUAGGAGCCAUUUUUAGUGUGAUGGUUGGAAAGUUUUUUCGGUGUAGGAUGAGCUCGCGGCCUAUCAGCUUGUUGGUGGGGUAAUGGCCUACCAAGGCGGCGACGGGUAGCCGGCCUGAGAGGGUGGACGGCCACAUUGGGACUGAGAUACGGCCCAGACUCCUACGGGAGGCAGCAGUGGGGAAUAUUGCACAAUGGGCGCAAGCCUGAUGCAGCGACGCCGCGUGGGGGAUGACGGCCUUCGGGUUGUAAACUCCUUUCGCUAGGGACGAAGCUUUUUGUGACGGUACCUAGAUAAGAAGCACCGGCUAACUACGUG